UUCACUUUGCAAAUCCUCAUCCUCCUUUGGUGAAACCAUCCGUGCAUCCCCUAAACUUUGACUCACACUCUCUGUCUUACUGAAAGUGCCAUUUCCAAGGGAGGCACAGUCUCUGUCUGCAUCAGCUCAACCUUUUUAGUGGCCAGUGGCAUCAGCAGGGCCUCGUGGGCAGAGCCUGAGCUCCUGUGUGGCUCUGCUGGCACUGGUGACGAUGUGAUGGCCCCGACACAUACGCAGCUCUAAAUUCAACUACUCAGUGGACAGGUUGGCUCAGCCUCCUAAAUCACAUUCUCCAGCCUUCAAAUCAUUUCUGUAGGGAUGUGGAUGCACACAUGAGGAAUCAUGUUGCACUCCGAAUUCUCUGCUUCUGGAUAUGAAAUUUUAUAUCUAAUGUCCAUUUUCAAUCCAUUCCUGAACAUCAGUCAAAGGGAAAGGAAGGGACUAUUUCAGAUUAAAAGGUCAACACAUAAGAAGUUCCACUUAAGGCUGUGAUUCACUGUAUAAAGUGCUGAAGAGGACUCUGUGAGGGAUGCUCAGUUCUGCAAAGUGUGUUGACUUUUUGAUGAGGCAUUAGGCGAGGUUUCCUAUCAUUACAGACUCUAUGGAGUUGUUAACAAUAUGAUUUAAAAGCCAAAUUCCUACUGGCCGGUGCCUGCCUGGCCCACUCAUGUACCCCACCUCACUGCUCAGCUUUAUUUAUUCCAUUUCACUCUUCACUUUAAAAAUCCCAUUGUGUGGCCUUCCCAGUGAAGAGCAGCUAUGUUUCAUCUCAGACAUGCCUUCAGUAACAAGGGAAGGGGUUUGCCUUUACUCUUCAGCCUUUUCAAAGAGAGGCAUUUUAUUAUAUGGGAAAAAACAUUACACUGACUGAGGUAAAAUUUUGGUCAGGCCUUGUAAAACAAACUCAGUGACUUUAAAGUAAUAAAACUUUCUGUGGCACUUUGCCAGAGCUGAUCUUCUAUGCUAUACUUCAGUAAUAAGUAGGGAUGUGCUGACAGAAACCUUGAGGCUUCCAACCUGUGCUCUGUGUAGUGCCUCAAGGGAUUUUCUGGAAAGCAACUGCUUUUCCAAAGUUAAACAUUUUUAUCUCCCUUCCCAAAAUGGCCAUCAGACCAGUGGUAUUUCAGACAAGAAAACGUGUUUACUUCCACGUCUUUCAUGCUGUCAACAGAAAAUAUUUUAAAUUGCAGGCAAAGUUUCCAAGAAAGCAGAGAUGGAGAUUUUCUUUGCUUUAAAUUUUGGAGUACCUUCCAGCAGUCCUCCUCCUGUCUUUGCACCACUCCCUUGCUCAGCUGGGAGCCUGGAGAUCUGAGCCCACGACUUGACCACGGAUCUGUCUGGGGACUCUGUGUUUGGGUACUGUGGGCCAAGGAGUACAUUUGGUACACACAGUGCCAGCCACAACACAGCCCUGAGCUUGGCAGGAGCCUUCUGGCCAGGGGUGGAAAACUCUUCUAGUAUUUACACUUAUUUGGCUAUGCAGUGGAUAUUAUCCCUUUUUCCAGCCCAGAUCUCUAUGAGAGCCAAACCUGGCCAUGAUGUCCAUCACUGUUAAUGCUGUACCAAUAGCUAAGCUCUUGGUGAAAGUUUGGCAUAAAAACAUUGUGCCUUGCUGAUUAGUCACAACCGGUGACUAUCACAGCUUUAAAAAUUGUGAUCAUGGGGUCUUGUCUUGCGACCCUGCUGCCCACCCUUUUCCCUGCAGAGAGAGAGGAAUAAAUAUUUACUACCUCUCAAAAUAACACCCAGCCACACUCACCCUUACUGCUGCAGAGUAGUUCAUCUAAUUGAAAUAAGAACAUAAGUAAAUUGUUUGUCAAGGCAGUUUAUUAGAAAAAGAUUGCUGUGUCAGGAGCUUCCUCACUGUGAGAGAUGCUGUGUUGUCUCUCUUAAUAUUUAAUGUCAUUUUAAUAAUAUUCCCCAGUUAGGGGUGCAGGCUGAUGCUAUACACUAAGCCUGCCAAAGUGGGGAGGAAUAAAAGCUUGAGGUCAGCUUAAUUCCAUUGACUUUUCCACCUGGAGGCUGGGUAAAGAGCAAUGCUGCACUUUUUCCAAGGGACUCAGCCACUCCCCGGUACUUCUCUCAGCAGCUUUAUCUCAGAUUUGUGGAUUUUGCCUUUCACUCACUCAGAAUGACACUUUAAAAGGUAAGGACCACAUCCUGAGGAGGUAGAGAUGAGAAACCCACCUUUCUGUCCUCUGACAAACCCAUUUCUCUUUGCGAUGCUGUCCCCCUUGGGCUCGUUAAUCAGGCAGUACCAUAAACCACUGAAUUUCUCCUAUUUGCAUUUGCAGUUACAGCACUCUUGCCUCAGUGGCAAGUCUUGUUUUGGAAACCUCUGGGUUAAAGUCAGAAGUGUUUUAGCCCAAAGAGUGGGGAUCUGCAGCUUAAGUAUCAAAGCCCCCUGCUCGUAAAGCAUCUGCCAACGCCGCCUCGGUGUCACCCUCCAGCCCUCACAGACCUGCCUCGCCUGCAAAGCUGCUGCACUGAUGGUGCCUCAGUCCCCAUGCCAUCCCUCCAGACAUCUCCUGGCAGCAAUGCCCAGCUCAGGCUCUUCCUUGUUGUGAAAGGCUCCUGGCUGAAGGACUGUGGAGUCAGAGCCUUUUGAAGCUGCUGCAUAAUAAGCUGUAUUCUUUACCCAAACAUCACUAGACAGUUCAAUAAUUACAUGAACUUUGUAAUCAGCCAAACAAGCAUAGCCAUCUACCUGACGUACACGUAGCACUUGUGAGUAAUUUUAUAUAAAUGCCACGUACUUUUGUACUUAGUGCACAGGCCUUGUGCACAAACAGCUAUAGAAGGAGGGCCCAAUUAUAAAUAAACUGUCCUUAGUUGUCACUUUGCUGUCUCUGACUUCCCACGCAUUCAAAUUGUGAGACUGAUUCAUUUAAUCUUACUCUAAAGCAGCAAGCCACAGAGUCAGUUUCCUGACAGUUGUUCUAAAAAGUGUAGCUGAGCUCUCUUAAAUUGUCUUCCCUUGUAUUAUAUUUAGACAUUGUGAUUAGAGUAUCUGUCAUGAUAUGCUUUUACUUUAAGGCAGAAGUUCAAGCCGCUUUCUGAAAGCAGAGAUGCUCCUGGGAGCCGAAGGGGCACGAGUGCUGGGGUUCAGCAUUUGGGAGCAGAGAUCUUCAGCACUGCUUGUGCUGCUGGCUCCCCUGCACAGCCAACCUCAUGAAAACCUGAGUUUUCAAGUAAGUGCAACGUUACUUACCAUAAUGAGACUACAGGGAAGGAUGGAGGCAGCGAAAUACUUAGCGGCUGUUUCCAAGGGUUUUAGAAAUUUCAGCUGAGCAAUUCUUACAAUCCUCUCUUCUCCCUUCCUUCCCUCUUCUCCCCCCCAGAUCUUGUCAGAGGCUUGGAUGCAAGAUCUGGACAUUCCUGUCAUAUGAGCAUGGCUUUUAUAUGUUUGUGUCAUUGCAAAGCAGAUUAUAAUGACUACACUUCAUGCAUUUUACCCUAAUUAAGUCAGCGGAGGUUUCAACGCAGAUACAAACUUGACAUGCAGCUCUGCCCUUGACAAUUGCCUACCAAAGAGAAUACCUGAAAGCUCUUGUUUUGCUAAAUAUGCUAUUUAAUAUUUUGUAAUGCUUGGGUAAAUGCAGUCAGUGAAUGUAGAGUCUUCUAUGUUUCUAUAGUAUUGUGGAGGAGGUUAUUUGAGUUACGCUCAAGGAGGUUUCCUUGUUCCAUCACUUGCUUUGCCAGAGCACUUGUCAGAUACUGAGCUGCAGGUUCCAGCCCUGCUGACCACCAUUUGUGAUGAGGAGAUCCACAGACUCCAGCAGACCCUCAGCCACUGCUCUGAUGGCAGGAGCUCUCCAGCAGCCUGGUAAAUGUGACCAGGAUCUGACAGGCAAGACAAAGUGAAAGACCCGCUGGGCUCUGCGGCACAGGCGGGGACGGGAAGGGCUCUGUGUAGAGGGGGGAUGUAGAGAGCAGAUGCCACGCCUCUGUUGUGUUUUGUUAACCUGAAAUGAAUAGAGCUGUGGAAUUUAACACACUGAAUUGAAAGGUGAGUUUCUCCCAUGUGCUGUGUGUAGGAUGCCUGUCUUCCUCUAGCUGAUCUACAGAGAUUUGUAAAUCUAUUAUUGCUUCCACACACCCUCAUAGAAACUUGUGCUUUAGGUUUAGCAUGCAGAAAACUUUAGGUCCUUGGUCCACAUUCAUGUGUUUGUCCAAAUGUGAUUGGAUUACCAUUCCUUUAAGACUGGUCAUAUUCCUUUUCCUCAGAUAAAACUGUCAUGCUACAAGUUUUCCACCAUCCCUGUGUCUCUAGAGAGAAUCUUGGAGACUUGAAGGUGACUUUUCUGAAAAAUGGUCUCAAUAAAAUUCCAAAAAUACUUUAUAAUUUGGAGCCUGCUCCUCAACCUCCAGCAGAGAUCAAAGAGAUCCCAGAAAAAAUAUUAAGCACCAUGCAUUCCUGGGAGCUGAGCCUUUGGCUGUAAUGAAUCAAUCAACUACCCUUUUAUCAGCCAGAUAUAAACUGACUUAGGGAAUUUUGGAGCCAAAGGCUACUGGUACAAGGCUGAUGGUUUAGGCUUUGUUUUCAUUAAAAUGUUUGACUCCAAAGGAAGGUCUUUGUUUUCAAAAAGUGUUUUUAACAUCUUCCUGUUAUUUUCACCCUCAAGCUUGCUCAGCCAGUUGGGUUUGAAAAUCUUGUUCUUGCUUCCUAGUGGCAAGACUGUGUGUUGAUGGUAGGUAUGGGGUGCCAAUUACUAUCUGUCAUUGGUAUUUAUGGGGUUCCAACUGCUACGGUACUGUGGUGCCAGGUACAAUAUUGAGAUAAGCAGGGAAGUUAUUGAAUGUGGACUCUGCUCUUCCCACCUGAGUGCUUGGCCCCUUCGACUUGGAGACUUUGUCCUCUCUCCCAUGCUCAGAUGUGGGGCACCCGAGAAAAAGUGAGGUUUGUGUUUGCUGCCGAGCAGCCCCGGCCCCUGAGCCCAGCCAGGCUGUACCUGGUACCCGUGGCUCCAUCUCGGAUCACAUCCUGCUUCCAUCCCUGAUGCUGGCAUGUGAGCCAAGGCACUGGCACUGGCACCGGCGGCACCGGGAGCAGAACCCACAGAGCCUGUGGCCUGCACACCAGCUGCUGCUGAACUCUUUUCCACAGAAUGUUUUCCAAAAUCCAGCAAACUGUGUCAACUGGGAGAGCUGAAAGCAACUGAGGUGCUGCUUCCCAGGCUGUGCAGGGUCGCAGAGGUGUCCCAGUCAGACAGCACGGAAAGCUUUGAUCUCUCUGGAGAAAGAAACUGCCAUGAUGCAGAGGGCUGCUGGAGCCUGGCUGGCAUGAAUGGGAAGAAUUUCUUCCAGCUACAGCUCUGAUGGUACUAACUGAUGCCCAAGGAGAAAGCUUGAUGAUUUAGAGAUGAAGAAGAAAGGAAUUGCACCCUUGGUAAGCCCUGCCUGUGGGACAGGAACCCCGGGACAUACUGAAAAUGUUUAAAUAAGGAAUGUGCCAUGAACCAGCAUUUAUCUCCUGCUUACCCUUACAUCUAUUUCCUUACCCUCAAAUUUUCAGGAAUGAAAAGCUGUAAGGAUCAGUAAUUACGCUGAGACUUUUCCUUUAUGUAUCACUGCUCACUCAAGAAUUUCAGGCCAUUACACAAAUAGCAGUGACGUGCUUGUCAGGGGCCCUUUGAAGCACAAAGUGCCCUUGCUGCCAGUUUGUUUUCCUCGGAGGAGGAGCGGCGGCAGAGGGAGAUGAAGGGAUGGAGGCUGCAAUGCUGGGAUGCCCUCCCCUUCCUCGCCCUCCCAAGUCGCUCGUGCCCCUCUUGCUUUACCCCCAUGGGGGUUUCUGGCCUCACAACUCACCUGAGGCCAGGUUCUUUAGGGAUGAUAGGGCAUUUCCAGAUGCUUAGGUGUGCCUGGCAAACAGGGAAUGGGCACCCAGUGUUCAGCACCCAGAGCCAAGGAAGCCAGUGAUCCUACCCCCUGAUUGCUGAGAGCUGCUCCGUGACGCCAGAAGGUUCACAGAGAGCAAGCAGGGCUGGAGUCAGCUUACACUGACUCCCAAGGACCAGGCAGCAGCUUCCCAGGGAAAAAAAAAACAACAAAACAUGCCCACGUAAAUAAAGAGGGAAAUAAUUAUAUAUGAGUAAUUAACUGAGCAGAAGUAAAAAUGGGAAGCUGAAAGACUGAAAGAAAAGAGAAGUGCGUGAGAUUUUUUGUAGAUGCAGAGGCUUGCAUUUUACAUCUAAAGAAACAGAGGAAGAAAUUUAAAUGCGUAUUUAGAAAAAAAAAAUAAAAAUCCAGUGGGAAAUGUGGAAAGAACCACUUUUAUGAGGAAGCCUCUGAAGAGACAAAGCUAUAAAUGCACAGUUCCAAAUAUCAACCAUUUCUUUUUCAACAUUGCAAAACCCCCAAAUAAUUCAUACUGUACAGAGUUAAAGCAAAUUUUUGGAAAAGCACCUGGGAACAAUGCUGGGAAUUGCCCACCCACUGUAUGAUUUUUGCUCUUGUCACUGGGCAGUAUAAGUGAAGUGCUAUUCACUCCAAGAAACAUUGCAUUCCUUUCUUCUCACCAUUAUCUUACUUAUAGAGGGGUGUAUUUAUAGAAACCUUCUCAAAGACCAGAGGUGCACUGCCAUCAGUCUUCCAGCACCGUCCACUCAGUGCUCAGUGGGAGGAUAAAGACUCCUGUUCAGGGAAACACCCUUUCCCAUAGAAUCAUAGAAUGCUUUGUGUUGGAAGGCACCUUUAAAUGUCAUCUGCUUCAACUCCCCUUCCACAGACAGGGACAUUUUCAUCUAGAUCAGGUUGCUCAGAGCCCUGUCUGACCUAACCUUGAAUAUUUCCAGGAAUGGGGCCUCUGUCACCUCUCCGGGCAACCUGUGCAAGUGUUUCACCACCUCCAUUGUAAAAAAUUUCUUCUGUUUAUCAAGUCUGAAUCUACACUCUUAUCAUUUAAAACCCUUGCUCCUUGUCCUCUUUCUGUUGUCCCUACUAAAAAGUCAGUCUCCAUCAUUCUUGUAAGCCCUCUUCAGGUACUGGAAGGCCACUAGAAAGAAUCCUAGGAGCCCUCCCUUAUCCAGUUGAACAACCCAACUCUCUCAGCCUUUCCUUAUGGAAAAGGUGCUCCAGCCCUCUAACCAUCUUCAGAUUAAGCAAAAAAUGGCUUAUCAGGGAGGCAGGAUUUCACUUGGAAAGCUCCAGACUGAAAAACCAGUCUUUAACUUUAUUUGAAAGACAAGAUGGAAAACAAAUCUAAAUAUGCUUUCUUUGCUCAGCCACCACAAGGUACCUUGUGUAACUUCCUGUCAUGUUUCUGGCUGAGAGAACAUUCAGUGGGCAAUUUUUCACCAUAUUAAAGUCACCACUAUCAAACUCAUUCUGGAUCCAAAAGAGCCAAAUAAAUUUGAUUGUACUUGUAGAAAUGUAUAUUGGGCAAUGAUAAAGAACCUAGGCCAGCUGCUGCUCACUUAGCUCUUAUGUAGGCAACAUUUACAUGGAUUGCAAUGGGGAUGGCUAAAUGAGGGCUGGAUGGGGUAAUUGCACUGAGCUGGUGUUGGAGGGGCUGGUGCUUGGAGACCUAAUGACAUUCCUCAGCCUGGGAUAAUUCAGAAUCCCCAGAGACAGGGCAGCCAGGUACCUGCUGCCUUUGUUUCCAUUCCCAUUAGGAGAUAACUAGAGUUACACUGUAUGGAAAAGAUUCAGGCAAUGUGAUUAAAAAAAAAAAAAAGGAAAUAAAGUUCCUUUAUGAUUCCUCUAUGAUUUUGUGGCUCUUAGAGCAUGCUGGGUGGUGGAACUGGAAAUGUGGAAACACAGAACACAGACUUUAUUAGCUUGACAGACUAGAAACAGUGGUGAGUUUUAGCACUCCAUCACUGUUACUGGCCUUUGGUGAGAGUGUCUUUGGCCAGUGCUAUUUCCAGGGAGGAUUUCUCUGCCCCUAUGUAUAUCCUGCCUGUUGGGCACAUGAGAGCUGUGCUAUUUAGCCCUUCUUCCCCUUGUUUAUGUUCCUCAUUCCCACACAAUCCAUAGGCAAUGUUGUAUAGUGCUAUGCCCCUCCCCCAAACUUUCCCUGUUUCAAUCGGUGUCACCACAAAGGAAUAGAUUAUUACUGACACUGAUCCCAAUUUAAUCCUUCCAAUAAUCUGAUCUUUCCAAGCCUAUUUAUAUCCUUGAAAUGACAGUAGGGUUUAAAGUGAGACAAAUACCUGAGCCUAAGUGCUGGCACUAUCCACAGCAGUCUGGUCCAGUUUUGACCCUUCAGAAUAAAGUGUAACCCCAAAUAUUAUUUGAUAAAUCCCUUCCCAAGUGUUUGUAGUGCUAGUCUGGUCCUGGGUUCCUCUUUUUGACCAGCUUUUUCACAUUACAGGUUUAUUCUCCUAUACAGUAGUAUCAAGCUGAAGUCCCAAAAUAAGUUUUAAAACUCAUAAAAAUGUAGAAUUUCUUUUCCCUUUGUGGAUUUUAAUAGCUUUCUGGUGUCUGGAAAUGAUCUAGAAGUAAAGCUUUCAUAGCAGCGUAAGAAGUAGAAACCCAUUCUAGUUUGUUAUUUCAUCCAGCAACCUGAGAACUUUUUUUAUUUUCCUGGGCUAUAAGGUGAUCAGACAAUGUUUUCUUCCAUUCCCAAUCUCCUUAAGAAGCUUAUUAAUGCUUUACAUUGAAAAUAAAGACAGACCAAUCUGAAAACAAAGCCAUCCUUAGCGCUGAAUAUUGUAAAUGUGCUUGCUGGACCAUUUCCACUAUUAGUAACAAAUUCAUUUUAAUAUUGCUCCUGCUUCUUGCUAGAUCUGCAGAACCUCAGUUCACACAUAGCCAAGGAGUAGUUCAACCAGCAGUCAGCAGGUUUUUGGUUUUUUUUUCCCCACUUUUAUAAUUCAGUGCAGUGACUUGUUUAUAUAACCAAAUCCUUUAGUUUCUCCAAAAGGGACUUGGCUAUUCCACUUGAGCGACAACACCCGUGGAAGGUGAUGGUAUAUUUUUUCCAAAGCAAAGGCCUCAGUUUCCAGCAGAAUUUGCAACCCAGUAAUAAAUAUUUAAAGGAGUUAUAAUGGAACUGAAACAAAGAGUGCACACACACACACACACACACACGUACACACAUGUGUACAGACACACACACAAAGACAUGCACACUCACAGUCAAUUAGUCUGAGGUCAUUCUGGUGCAGAUGGUGCCUCUGUUCAAACCCUGAGAUAUUUUGUUUUUUCUGUCAGGAAACUUGGCCACCUCAGAAUUUUAAUACCCCAUAAAAAAACAUAUAAAAAAAUUAUUCUUUACUGUCUAUGUAGCAGAUCACUCGAACAUCCAUGUCAAAGGCAUUUUCUUCAAGAAAAUCUCCUUCUGCCCCUAAAAGAGUGUAAUAAAGAGUACAAUCCAUGCUGA
This is a long non-coding RNA of Cyanistes caeruleus (blue tit), 9325 nucleotides long. RefSeq lists it as uncharacterized. The record is from RefSeq and is a predicted model, not a curated record. NCBI's taxonomy places the organism in Eukaryota, Metazoa, Chordata, Aves, Passeriformes, Paridae.